Non-coding RNA from Pimephales promelas (fathead minnow), 73 nucleotides. NCBI's taxonomy places the organism in Eukaryota, Metazoa, Chordata, Actinopteri, Cypriniformes, Leuciscidae. The record is from the annotation of a RefSeq genome assembly.
GGUAGCGUGGCCGAGCGGUCUAAGGCGCUGGAUUAGGCCUUCGGAGGCGUGGGUUCGAAUCCCACCGCUGCCA